RNAcentral lists this ribosomal RNA (1311 nucleotides) under uncultured bacterium. RNAcentral's name for it is "bacterial SSU rRNA". It matches the Rfam family "Bacterial small subunit ribosomal RNA", at positions 54 to 1381 of the family's 1533-position model. The record is from RNAcentral.
CAUGCAAGUCGAACGGAGAUAUGAUUUCGGUUGUAUCUUAGUGGCGAACGGGUGAGUAACGCGUGAGCAACCUGACUCUUAGAGGGGGAUAACACUCGGAAACGAGUGCUAAUACCGCAUAAGACCACGACAUGGCAUCAUGACGAGGUCAAAGGAGCAAUCCGGUGAGAGAUGGGCCCGCGUCCAAUUAGCUAGAUGGCGGGGUAACGGACCACCAAGGCGACGAUCAGUAGCCGAACUGAGAGGUUGAUCGGCCACAUUGGGACUGAGAUACGGCCCAGACUCCUACGGGAGGCAGCAGUGGGGAAUAUUGCGCAAUGGGGGAAACCCUGACGCAGCAACGCCGCGUGAAGGAUGAAGGUUUUCGGAUCGUAAACUUCUUUGAUGGGGGACGAAACAAAUGACGGUACCCCAAAAACAAGCCACGGCUAACUACGUGCCAGCAGCCGCGGUAAUACGUAGGUGGCGAGCGUUGUCCGGAAUUACUGGGUGUAAAGGGCGUGUAGGCGGGAAUGCAAGUCAGAUGUGAAAUGCCGAGGCUUAACCUCGGAGCUGCAUCUGAAACUGUGUUUCUUGAGUGUCGGAGAGGAAAGUGGAAUUCCCAGUGUAGCGGUGAAAUGCGUAGAUAUUCGAAGGAACACCGGUGGCGAAGGCGACUUUCUGGACGAUAACUGACGCUGAGGCGCGAAAGCGUGGGGAGCAAACAGGAUUAGAUACCCUGGUAGUCCACGCCGUAAACGAUGGGUACUAGGUGUUGCGGGUAUUGACCCCUGCAGUGCCGAAGCUAACGCAUUAAGUACCCCGCCUGGGGAGUACGGUCGCAAGACUAAAACUCAAAGGAAUUGACGGGGGCCCGCACAAGCGGUGGAGCAUGUGGUUUAAUUCGACGCAACGCGAAGAACCUUACCUGGGCUUGACAUCCCGUGACAAUUAUAGAAAUAUGGCGGUCCCUUCGGGGGAGCAGAGACAGGUGGUGCAUGGUUGUCGUCAGCUCGUGUCGUGAGAUGUUGGGUUAAGUCCCGCAACGAGCGCAACCCUUAUUGCUAGUUGCCAUCAUUAAGUUGGGCACUCUGGCAGAACUGCCGGUGAUAACACGGAGGAAGGUGGGGAUGACGUCAAAUCAUCAUGCCCCUUAUGUCUUGGGCUACACACGUACUACAAUGGCCUGAACAGAGGGAAGCAAAACUGCGAAGUUAAGCGAAUCCUUAAAACAGGUCCCAAUUCGGAUUGUAGGCUGCAACUCGCCUACAUGAAGUUGGAAUCGCUAGUAAUCGCAGGUCAGCAUACUGCGGUGAAUACGUUCCCGGGCCU